Non-coding RNA from Zootermopsis nevadensis, 65 nucleotides. The record is from the annotation of a RefSeq genome assembly. Lineage: Eukaryota; Metazoa; Arthropoda; Insecta; Blattodea; Termopsidae.
GGGGGAUUAGUUAAAAAUAACAUUAGAUCGUCAAACUAAAAUAACCAAAUAAAUGGUAUCCCCCU